RNAcentral lists this long non-coding RNA (363 nucleotides) under Phoenix dactylifera (date palm). RNAcentral's name for it is "long non-coding RNA (PDAC_LNC001067)". The record is from RNAcentral. Lineage: Eukaryota; Viridiplantae; Streptophyta; Magnoliopsida; Arecales; Arecaceae.
GAGCUCAGAAUCAUUCAUCUUUACUAAGAAAAUAUAACACCAAAUUCAUUUCCCCAGUACGUCUUCUUGCAAAUUAUAAAAUUCAAGUAAUAUACAUUUUUUUAUCAUAUAUAACUAAAAUAGAAGUUCAACUUGUGCUAAAUUCCCAUAUUAGUAAUGAUAUUAAAAUAGUUUUUUUAUUUUAGAUGAUAAGUAGGCUCUUAUUUAAUAUGGUUCCUUAUUGUGGACCAUAUUAAUAAUAUCAUUAUUACAAGUUUUUAUUUUAGAUAAUAAGUAGAGCUCUUAUUUAAUAUACUUCUUUAUUUUCAAUACUUCUUUAAUAGUCAUCAUAAAAAUAACUUCAAAUAGUAAAUUAAUAACAUA